This 4637-nucleotide long non-coding RNA is filed under the name Salvia miltiorrhiza (redroot sage). Its description in RNAcentral is "long non-coding RNA (SMIL_LNC007036)". The record is from RNAcentral. Lineage: Eukaryota; Viridiplantae; Streptophyta; Magnoliopsida; Lamiales; Lamiaceae.
UCAAAAAAGGUUUUGAGUUUGAGAUUGGUAAACGCGGCAAAAUUAUACAAAACCCUAGUUAAACCUGUUGAAUUUGAAAUGUCAAUUAUUUCAAUGGCAGAACUGCCAAUUCUUCAAUUUGAAGACAAAAUCGUCGAAACCGUGGAUAAGAAUCCGGUAGUAGUUGUAAUCGGUGAAACUGGCUCGGGAAAGAGUACCCAGCUCUCUCAAAUUCUUCAUCGGCGAGGUUACACCAAAUCGGGUUGCAUCGCUGUAACUCAGCCGCGUCGAGUUGCCGCUGUUACAGUAUCAAGGUGAAUUCCUCAAUUAAGUUAUAUGAUGUUGUGAUAAUUUGACGUUUCUGUUCAUAGAAGAAAAUGUAUUCCCUUGCUUAGUCAGUUACGUUUUACUCCUUAGCAGCUCUUUGGUUAUUGUUGGAACUACAUUUGAGAAAUUAGCUAAUAAUAGCUGAGUCACUCUUACCAGAAUCCUAGCUGGUUUGCUUCAUUUUGUUUCAAAUUAUGUGUAUUUGUUUGAUACGUGAUCAUGCAUUGAACGUUUUUUGUCCACUAGGCGUGUCUCAGAAGAAUUGAAUGUGAGGCUGGGCGACGAGGUAGGUUACGCGAUUCGCUUUGAAGAUAGAACUUCGGAGAAGACGAUUAUUAAGUAAACUAUCUUUUAUAAAAUACAUUGAAAACUAUGUCUGUGGAAAGAACAAAGCAUUCUUAUUCAUUUUUUCUGUACAUGUGCGUGCAGAUACCUAACCGAUGGAGUUCUCUUGCGCGAAAGUCUUUCCAACCCGGAGCUGAGCCAAUAUUCGGUCAUCAUAUUAGAUGAAGCUCAUGAGAGGAGCUUGAACACGUAAAUCACUAUAAAGUUUCCUAAUGUGUCAUUGAUGUAAUACUUUUGGUAUUUAUCUGUCCGCAUGUUAUUCUGAGACUUUGUAAUUGGGAAUCUUUUUUCUGAGCUUGUUCUAAUAUUUCUAUUUGCUCUUGGUGAAAUAUCUUUUGUUUGAUGGGUGUAACUGUGUUUGGUCAGGGAUGUGUUGCUUGGAUUGAUGAAAAGAUUAAUUAAAUUGCGUGCAUCCAAUUUGAAAGUUUUGGUCACUUCAGCUACACUUGAUGGUGAAAAAGUAUCAAGAUUCUUCUCGAAUUGCCCAAUCCUCAACGUUCCAGGGAAAUUAUUCCCUGUUGAGAUACAUCAUAGCUCAGAACGACCAAAAAGUUAUAUUGAUGCUUCUUUGAAAAAAGCUCUUGGUACGAUAUCUUAAUAUUUGUUAUUUUUUUGUUAUUUAACUUUGCUACAUUUAUCUAUCAGUGAACAAUAUAGUUCCCUGUCAUUGCUUGCCAUAUUUUCUUCUUGUCUCAAUUCUCCACUUAUAUGGUUCAUGCUUCCUUUGCAGAUAUACACACACAAGAACCCGAAGGUGACAUCUUAAUUUUUAUGACGGGACAGGUUAGAACCAUAUUGUUUGGUUUUAAUGUUGUGUUGUAAUGCUUAUUCUAGUAAAGAUAGUUGUGAAUUUACCUUGUAGGAUGACAUAGAGAAGUUGGUCUCAAGACUGGAAGAGAGAAUCCAAAGAUUGGAGGAAGGGUCUUGUAUGGAUGCUGUAAUUUAUCCUCUUCAUGGAUCUCUGCCUCCUGAAUUGCAAGUUAGUUUUCACUUCUUAAUAUGCUGCUAUAAUGUCUAUUUCCCACAAUUUUUAAUAUGAAGGGACCUUGCGUUAUAUAGAACCACUUGGAUUCAAUCUCUGCAAGAAAUCUUUUGUUCAUUUUAUCAUCCUAGAGUUGCACAUCAGCUUAUUGACUCAUUUCCCCCUCAUUUUGAUUCAUGUUCUACAGUCUAUUUGUCUUUGUGAUUAUCUAGCUCUUUAAAAAAAUAAGAAGAAGUAAUAGCUUGUUGCUUUUUUUUCUAACUAUCGUCUUGUACUUGCAUUACUUGUGCAGGUCCGUGUAUUUAGUCCUCCACCUCCCAAUUGCCGGUCGUUCAUCGUUUCUACCAACAUAGCAGAGACAUCUUUGACUGUUGAUGGUGUUGUGUAAGAUACUUUAAUGCUAUUUUAGAUCUGCAUUACUUGACACAUCAUGAGGAAUCCAUUGCUACUUGAAUUGCUGAGAUUCAAAUAUAUGUCCAAGUUAUCAAUAUCUAAUCUAUUGAAUCAGAGGAUAGAGCGAAGUGUUAGUAUUCUUAAUAAUUGAGUAUGUGAUACUUUUGGUUAUUGGUAGUGGGAAAAACUUGGCAAAUGGUUCAUAUACUUAUAUAAUAAACCAAAACCAGUUUGUGUCUUGUUAUCAUAUUAAGAACUUUUUCUGAAUAUAAGUUUUUAAAAAAUUGACGUGAACUGCAGGUAUGUAAUUGAUCCUGGUUUUGUGAAGCAACGACAGUACAACCCAUCAACUGGCAUGUAUUCUCUUGAUAUUGUCCAAAUCAGCAAGUAUGGGUUCGGAUUCUUAUUUUAGAUGUUAUUCUAGCUUGAGCUGGUGUUCAUGGUCUAUUCCCCUGCUACUUGAUACAUGUAUAUGCUGUGUGCAUCUGUUUUUUUUUUUGGCUUCAUUGGACUCGAGAAAGACAUUGUGUCUUUGAACACAAAAUGAACUGGAGUCGUGGCUAUACAAUAAUAAUAUGCAUCAUUUUGUUUUCCAUUUUUUUCCCCUGUAGUAGGUAAAGUCUUUAAGAAUUUUACUCUUUUUUUGUCGUCACAAUCCAACCAGUUUAUAUGUGAUUUGAUUUGAUUAUGUGCUCUCUUCAUAUUGAGUUUUAAUGCUCAAAACUAGGAGGGGUUAUGUGAAAAAAUGUAAUGUACAAUGCAUUUUUGUUUAUGCACUCAUUCUCAGACCACAAACAUAUUUCAGAGUGCAGGCUAAUCNUGUGUGAGGGAAGAUUGCUGGCAGCUAUUUCACCUCUUUCGCCGGCAACGCGGCCGCCCGUCUGAAAAAGGAAUUUCGUCCAUUACCAGAAGACCAUCUCCCAGCACCAAUUCAUACAGGAAUUCAAGUUCAAUCAUAACAAUUGCUCUUCAAACACUCUUCUCUGCUAUCUCUCGGCUAAAGCAAGAAUACCUCAAUUGGCUAUUCAAGAUUACUUUUCUGGAGAGCAGAAGAACCAAUGACACCGGCGAUCACCCCUCGUGCCACCUCUCUGGUUUACCGGCGAUGGCGCUGCUCCACGCCGUCGAGAUCUGUGAUGCCGCUCCACACACGCCCACACUGAGAUCUUUGUGCGCAACGAGAGAGAGAGGGAGAUAGAGCAGAAGUAGAGGGGGGGGAAAUUCAUGGUGGCGGCGGCCUUGUAGCUGCCAUUCGCCGAAAAAUUCAGGAGCAAGGGUUGCCGCCGCCGCCGAAGGUUGCAGGGGACGUCGAACCCAAAUAAUUGAGAAGGGGACCAAGGGGGUUGCACUCACAGAGCUUUGGAUCGAAACUCACCUUCUUCUCCGGCGAUUUGGGUGUCGCCGCUGACGAUUUUGGGGUGCCGCCGAGAGAGGUAAGCGAUUUUGGAGUGCUGCCGCCUACAACAGAGAGAGAGAGAGAGAGAGAGAGAGAGUUGAGCGAGAGAAGUGAGCUAAAGAGAUAAAUGAGAAUUUAAUUAGAGAACCCUAAUUUUUAUUAAGUGAGCUUAAUUAAAUAUAAAUAUUUCUACUUUUAGAAAGUUGCCACUUUUAGUGGGACAAACUAAAAUGGAAAUGUGGCCACAUUUAUUGGGAUGGAGGGAGUAUUAUUUUAUGCGUCUCAUAAAAAUAUGCAUAGUAUGAGACGAUAUGAGUUUUAAGAAAUCAUAUACUAAAAUGUUUGUCUCAUAAAAACAUGCAUAGUAUGAGAUAAUACGAAUUUUAAAAAAUCAUGUAAAAUGUAGUAUGAGUGGAUUAUGAUGUUUAGAGAGAGAAUUAUUACUAUAAAUGGAGUAUGCAUAUUUUUAUGGAACGGACGAAAAAGAAAAAUUAUACAUGUAUUCUUUGAGGCGUUAAUUGACUGUAACUUUUGGUAUUUUUUUUACCUAUAUAAGUUGUAAAAUCUAUACUUUUGUUGAUUUGAAUUCGAAUUUUAGAUAGAACACAAUUUCAGUGUAAUUUAUUACCACGAAAGUACAUGCAUGUUUGAUCGCCCUAGAUAAAGCAAAAUAGAUAAAUAAUCAUGUUUUAUCUAAGCGUUUGAUAGCAAUAUUGAUUAACAAGAAGGUCCGCAUUAAAGGAGAGACCCGCUUUUAUAUCACUGUUCCACUGAAAAAUUUAAUAUCUCAUUUUCUUGAUAUUAUUUAUCUAGGUAUUAUUUAUCUAAGUUUUAUUUAUAACCUUUUAUUAUCUCAAUUUUAUAUCAAACACACGUGUAAUUCAACCAUAUUAUAUAGAGAUACAUAUUCCACAUAGAUACAUAUAGGUUCGUUAGAAAGAAAAUUAAAAUUAUCGUUUUAACUGAAAAAGGGCGCACAAGCUGCUGUUGUGUCCUAAAUAAGCUCAAAAAAGGUUUUGAGUUUGAGAUUGGUAAACGCGGCAAAAUUAUACAAAACCCUAGUUAAACCUGUUGAAUUUGAAAUGUCAAUUAUUUCAAUGGCAGAACUGCCAAUUCUUCAAUUUGAAGACAAAAUCGUCGAAACCGUGGAUAAGAAUCCGGUAGUAGUUGUAAUCGGUGAAACUGGCUCGGGAAAGAGUACCCAGCUCUCUCAAA